RNAcentral lists this transfer RNA (71 nucleotides) under Stegodyphus mimosarum. It matches the Rfam family "tRNA". From Rfam's summary of the family: Transfer RNA (tRNA) molecules are approximately 80 nucleotides in length. Their secondary structure includes four short double-helical elements and three loops (D, anti-codon, and T loops). The record is from Rfam by way of RNAcentral. Lineage: Eukaryota; Metazoa; Arthropoda; Arachnida; Araneae; Eresidae.
GCCUUCGUAGUGUAAUGGUCAGCACACUCGGCGCGUUCGAGAGGUCCGAGGUUCGAAUCCCGAUGAGGACG